Molecule: long non-coding RNA, 165 nt
Organism: Penaeus monodon (black tiger shrimp)
Lineage: Eukaryota; Metazoa; Arthropoda; Malacostraca; Decapoda; Penaeidae
Exons: 2
Source: RefSeq, a predicted model, not a curated record
CUACUGAAAAUAAAGAUCUUGAAAAUUAUAUGUGUCUUGGCGAACAGGUUGUUGCGAGAAGCUUUUAACUCACAAGUGCCAACACGCGACCCCGACGUGUUAAGGAGCGCGGUCGGGGCAGAAGUGGAGCGAGAAUCUGUGUUAUGUGGCUAGUUUUCCUUCGAU